This is a long non-coding RNA of Cervus elaphus (red deer), 1387 nucleotides long. RefSeq lists it as uncharacterized. The transcript has 3 exons. NCBI's taxonomy places the organism in Eukaryota, Metazoa, Chordata, Mammalia, Artiodactyla, Cervidae. The record is from RefSeq and is a predicted model, not a curated record.
CUCGGCCAGUCCCAGACACAUCCGGGUCUUCAGCAGCCCAUUAAGUGUCGGGGGUCAAAAAAUCGCUUCAGGCUGCAACUUUACCUUAGAGACGUUUUGGUCCCCAGGCAGCCGCCGUACCCCAGUAUCCCCAAACCGGGAUUCCCCUUUGGCCUGCUCUCAUUCUUCCAAUUCUAAAGAUGGAGACUGGUGAACGGCGGUGGGGUCUGCGUUGGGUGGUGUUUCAUCGCGACAGAAUCCAGGAAUUUCACGAUAGCAGUAGCUUGAGGCGCUCGGGCCUUGCAGUCUGUUUGGGGCGUGGCCUGUCUCCGUCUGCCAAAGGCCUUGAGCUUCCUGGUCUUCAUUGUACCCCAGCACGGUUCUGUCGUGACUGAACCACGACUGGGGGAAAAAAGACAGCUAGCGAAAUUGCUGGGAAAUUACGCCGCGCAGAGCGCUCGCAGCUCCUUCUGUCCGGAUCUCUGGUCUGAUCAGGUUCACAGUGAAGGGAAACAGCCUCCCACUCCACCAACUACACCUAAUCAACUCAAGGCCCAACUCCUGCUAGCCUCCCUACUUCCCCAAAGCAGUUAGGCGCGACUGAACCCAGCGUUUUUCGAACACGUACUAUAAGUAUUGUUCUUGAGCAUCUGAGCAUCUUGAGCAUCUGAGGGACCAAGUAUCAGAGUCAGUGUGUUAAAGGAAUGGUAGUAGCUAACGUUUGGGGCAGAGACUGAGGCACUGUGCUGUAUGUGCAUUCGUAUUUUUUUAAGAGCUUUCCAUGGAUUAUUUAUUCCUUGUAACUCAGUGAGGUAGAUACUGUUAGCCCCAUUAUACAGAUUAAGAAAAUGAGGUAUAAAUCAAAUGAUUUGCCCAGAGUUACAUAUGAAAAGUGGCAGAGCUGAAAUUUGAAGCCGGUAGAUCCAGAAAGGGGUUCAGAGAGAUUCAGAGAGGCUAAGGAGCUUACAAAGUUCAGACAGCUAAUUAAUGACUACUGGCUCAAACUCAGAAAUAACUGGCUCCAGAAGCACUAGAAUGUGUUUUUCAAGUCAUUUAAAAGUCACGCUGUGCAAUGGAAAUGAAACUAAUGGGCACAAAAAGGUGGACCCUGAACAGACACACACAAAUGUACAAAAGCAGCUCCUUUAGGACACUGCUUCAGACAAGAUGGGAAAGCAUCCUCUGGCCUGAAGGUCCCAGAAUUCAGAAGUAGUACUGCUGUCUUCAUCCACUGAUUUCCACCCCCAGGAAUUUGCACUAGAGGCUCAUCCAAGUGUAGUUUAUCCGUUGUCAGCACACUGAAUGUCAGCCACUAGACCAGCCCCAGCUCUCCGUGCCUGUCCCCUGCCGUGUCGCCAGUCCCUACCCACCUCUCUGCGAGCUGCCUGCCUCUUGGGCUGCCGUCUCC